RNAcentral lists this ribosomal RNA (1247 nucleotides) under Dandelion virescence phytoplasma. RNAcentral's name for it is "bacterial SSU rRNA". It matches the Rfam family "Bacterial small subunit ribosomal RNA", at positions 153 to 1399 of the family's 1533-position model. Lineage: Bacteria; Bacillati; Mycoplasmatota; Mollicutes; Acholeplasmatales; Acholeplasmataceae. The record is from RNAcentral.
GAAACGACUGCUAAGACUGGAUAGGAAAAGCAAAGGCAUCUUUACUUUUUUAAAAGACCUUCUUUGAAGGUAUGCUUAAGGAGGGGCUUGCGACACAUUAGUUAGUUGGCAGGGUAAAGGCCUACCAAGACUAUGAUGUGUAGCUGGACUGAGAGGUUGAACAGCCACAUUGGGACUGAGACACGGCCCAAACUCCUACGGGAGGCAGCAGUAGGGAAUUUUCGGCAAUGGAGGAAACUCUGACCGAGCAACGCCGUGUGAACGAUGAAGUACCUCGGUAUGUAAAGUUCUUUUAUUAAGGAAGAAAAAAGAGUGGAAAAACUCCCUUGACGGUACUUAAUGGAUAAGCCCCGGCUAAUUAUGUGCCAGCAGCCGCGGUAAUACAUAAGGGGCAAGCGUUAUCCGGAAUUAUUGGGCGUAAAGGGUGCGUAGGCGGUUUAAUAAGUCUAUAGUUUAAUUUCAGUGCUUAACGCUGUUGCGCUAUAGAAACUGUUUUACUAGAGUAAGAUAGAGGCAAGCGGAAUUCCAUGUGUAGCGGUAAAAUGCGUAAAUAUAUGGAGGAACACCAGAGGCGUAGGCGGCUUGCUGGGUCUUUACUGACGCUGAGGCACGAAAGCGUGGGGAGCAAACAGGAUUAGAUACCCUGGUAGUCCACGCCGUAAACGAUGAGUACUAAGUGUCGGGCAAAACCGGUACUGAAGUUAACACAUUAAGUACUCCGCCUGAGUAGUACGUACGCAAGUAUGAAACUUAAAGGAAUUGACGGGACUCCGCACAAGCGGUGGAUCAUGUUGUUUAAUUCGAAGAUACACGAAAAACCUUACCAGGUCUUGACAUUUUCUUGCGAAGUUAUAGAAAUAUAAUGGAGGUUAUCAGGAAAACAGGUGGUGCAUGGUUGUCGUCAGCUCGUGUCGUGAGAUGUUAGGUUAAGUCCUAAAACGAGCGCAACCCUUGUCGUUAAUUGCCAGCAUGUAAUGAUGGGGACUUUAACGAGACUGCCAAUGAAAAAUUGGAGGAAGGUGGGGAUUACGUCAAAUCAUCAUGCCCCUUAUGAUCUGGGCUACAAACGUGAUACAAUGGUUGAUACAAAGAGUAGCUGAAACGCGAGUUCUUAGCCAAUCUCACAAAAUCAAUCUCAGUUCGGAUUGAAGUCUGCAACUCGACUUCAUGAAGUUGGAAUCGCUAGUAAUCGCGAAUCAGCAUGUCGCGGUGAAUACGUUCUCGGGGUUUGUACACACCGCCCGUCA